GCCACUCACUCAAUAUUUAUCCCACCACGAAGAAAUUUAUAUCCCUGGAAAGCUGAGCUCAAGACCUUUUUAACGGUAUGCCGUUUUGCUCUUUCACAGAGUAUCGAAAGUUUGUACGCUGAUCUAUUCACUGCGAUAAACGAUGCAAAUCGAAGUGCGUGUAGACACGUCAUCCGCACGCAAAGGGUUAAUAAUGGGUUUGGAUGCUCACCUUAUUCGUUUCUUCCUCUUUGUUGUGUUGUGCGUAGUGAGUGCUGGUGUCAACUCACAGCAAUCUGCCAGCGCAGCAGCAGAACCUGUCAUGACGACCAAGCCACUACCAUGAAGUCCAUAGCUGUGUACAUGUAAAUAGACCUAUGAUUCAACAGGUUUCAAUCGGACCUCUUCUCCUCUGUGAAUAGACCUAUGAUUCAACAGGUUUCAAUCGGAACUCUUCUCCUCUGUGAAUAGACCUGUGAUUCAACAGGUUUCAAUCGGACCUCUUCUCCUCUGUGAAUAGACCUAUGAUUCAACAGGUUUCAAUCGGACCUCUUCUCCUCUGUGAAUAGACCUAUGAUUCAACCGGUUUCAAUCGGACCUCUUCUCCUCUAUGAAUAGACCUAUGAUUCAACAGGUUUCAAUUGGGCCUCUUCUCCUAUGUAAAUAGAGCUAAGAAGUUUGUACCAUAAUAUUGUUCAUAGUCUUGUUCGCUGACAAUUAAUCCUGCUGUAUUCUGUGUCCUGCUGUAUCCUGUGUGAUGAGAUCUAUCCGUCACUAUUUUAUUUUUUGGCAAGAAAUAGGGUGAACUUAUUUUAUUCCGUCUAUCGCCUAUUUAUUUUUCAAUUUACUUGCCCGCUGAUCUUAGACAGGUGUGUCUAAGCAACCAACCACUGUAUAUUUAUCUACAAUUUAGGUCAUACGGUUUUUCUAUUAUUAGUGAAAUCUAGCGCAACAAUGUGAACCAGUCUCCACAGAACUAGCGCAACAAUGUGAACCAGUCUCCACAGACCAAGCUGCUAUUUAUAGGUCACUUGUGUUGUACAAGUCUCGUUGCUGUUUAAGUUUUACGCACUUCGUAUACAUAUAUGCACAUGUUAGUCCUGGUGUCCAUUGUUGAAAAUGUUUGAAACUUUUUUUUUAAACAAGAGCAAUAUCUUUGCGAGCUAUCAUCAAACAGUCCUACUAUCUCCCCAACUUUAUGAUUAAAAACUGGCGAAGUCCAUUACUAACGAAGCGAAAAAAUCAACUCAUACCAUCCACUUUUUUUAAAUUUGAGUAUAAUAAAACAACCUAUGAAUCGUU
This is a long non-coding RNA of Sycon ciliatum, 1281 nucleotides long. RefSeq lists it as uncharacterized. The record is from RefSeq and is a predicted model, not a curated record. The transcript is spliced from 2 exons. Lineage: Eukaryota; Metazoa; Porifera; Calcarea; Leucosolenida; Sycettidae.